AGGAAACAAAUAAAGAGUAAUCUCUAUGUGAUGUAUCAGCAAAUGGUACGGUCCGCCAAGACCGCUUCUUGUUUCCAUGGAGCGGCGUACCUUGGCGGUUGUGAAUCGGAAACCGAUAUCAGUUGUACUCCCGAACCGAGAGGUGGUACCAUUGAGAACGGUGCUCACAUCGCCGUUCACAAGUUCGUUGGUGCCGAGAAUCCACCUUAUAACGAAGACAUGGGGAGUUUCUAUUCUGCUGGUAGAGACCCUUUGUUCUACGCUCAUCAUGGCAAUGUUGAUCGAAUGUGGAACAUUUGGAAGACAUUGCCAGGGAAGAAGCGACGUGAUUUCGACGAAGAUGUUUGGCUCAAUUCUUCGUUUCUUUUCUACGAUGAGAAUGCAAAUAUGGUUCGCGUUAAAGUUCGCGAUUGCCUUGACUCUAAAACUUUGGGGUACGAUUACCAAAGUGUUGAUAUUCCAUGGCUUAGAAGCAAGCCAACACCUCGAAGGAGUCGUCCUGGUGUGGGAAGGGAUCAGGAUCAGGGUCAGGAUGUAGCAGCCAGACGAAAGAGUAAAAACUUCAGGCGUUUUCCAAUAGUUUUAGACAAGGUGGCCGUACGCAUUGAGAUUCCAAGGCCAAAUAAGGAACUAAGAAUAAAGAAAAAAGAUGAAGAAGAAGUAUUGGUUCUUCAAAACAUACAGCUAGACAGAAAUGACUCAGUGCAUUUCGAUGUCUCCAUUAAUGACGAUGAAGACGACGACAACCCUUGCAAACCGGAAGAUGCGCAGUUCGUGGGGAGCUUUUCGAGUUUACCGCGCGGAGAUAGUUGCCACUCCGAGGCGAUGCUUAGUACAAAUCUGUAUUUGGCAUUAUCAGAUGCGCUGGAGGCUUUGAAGAUUCAAUUUGAAGAUACCAUUGUGGUGACUUUGGUGCCUAAAGAAGGGGAAGUUUCGAUUGGUAACAUUAAGAUCGACUACGUUUGUUGAUUUGGGGGUGAAUAUUUUGCUUCAUCCUUUGUGUUCUCGCUAGAUCGGAUUGAUGGGGUUCAUCAAUUUGUUUCUCGCAUGUGUCUUUUUUUUUUUUUAAUAAAAAUAUCAAGCUAAAUGAACAAAAGCAGCGGCAGCUUUAUCUUGCUCAAGAAGAUAAUCAACUCCCUAAAGGCGCCUGAUAUUUUCUGCAUAUCAUCAAUUCAAACAGGAGAUAUUUUAGUUAACCGAGUAACCACUUGAUUUCUUUAACUAUCCAAGACUUCUUGCACUGUAAAUAGCUCUGAAUGCUUCCAAGUAAUCUGUCUAAAUUAAAGCUUUGACAUAUAUAACAAGAGUAACUCGUCCGAGAUACUCUAGAAUUCAACAUUAAAGACUGAAUAAAUAUCUAAAUUAUGAUUGAACCCGACAAUUUAAUCUUGCCAAUUUUUAUUAUUAAAUUUUACCAUUUACUUUUUGUAUUAUUUAUAAAUUUUAAGUCCAGCUUUAUAAAAAAAUAUCAUUUUAGUUCUUCAUUUAAUUUUAUCUCUUUUUAACCCUUAAACUUAUGUUGUUUGUCAAAUUGUCUCAAAAUAAAUAAAAUAAAUUAAUAUCUAUUAACUUACUCUAGAAUUCAACAUUAAAGACUGAAUAAAUAUCUAAAUUAUGAUUGAACCCGACAAUUUAAUCUUGCCAAUUUUUAUUAUUAAAUUUUACCAUUUACUUUUUGUAUUAUUUAUAAAUUUUAAGUCCAGCUUUAUAAAAAAAUAUCAUUUUAGUUCUUCAUUUAAUUUUAUCUCUUUUUAACCCUUAAACUUAUGUUGUUUGUCAAAUUGUCCCAAAAUAAAUAAAAUAAAUUAAUAUCUAUUAACUUUGUUGACACAUCCACGUGUAUGCCACAUCAACAUUUACUUAAUUCUUUUUACAAAAUUAAAAAAAUUCUGAAACAUUAAAAAAGCUUUAAAAUUAUAAAAAAUUUAAAAAUUAUAAGUUUUAUUUAAUAAUAAAAUUAUAAUAAUAUUCUAUACAUUUUAGAAUUUUUAAAAAUUUUAAUCAGUUAUUAACGUGACAUACACGUGGAAUGCCACAUAAACAAAAUUAUUAAGCGUUAAUUUUUCUAUUCAUUAUAAAGUGCUUUGACAAAAAAACGCUAGUUUAACGGUUAAAAGUGGCGAAGAUUAUAUGAAGGGUUAAAAUGAUUUUUUUUAUAAAAUUGAAGGACUAAAUAAGUCAUUAUGCCUAAAUUUUAUCAUAUUUAUAAAUAAAAUUUUAAUUUUACUAAAAUAUUUGAUUAAAUAUAUUUACUUUAUAAAAAAAUUGUCAUACUUUUAUAAGAAUUUCGAGUCAAUUAAAAUACUUUUAUUAAAUGAAUUUAUAUAAUAAUAAAUAAAUUUAAAUUUUAUAUUGAAUUAAUUUAUAUUAAAUUAUUAUGUUUUCAUUAACCCAAAAAAGUUAUAUUACUUAUUUUUAAAUGAAUUUUUUAAUUAUUUAUAUGAUAGGUAGCUUUAUAUUUUACAUGCAAUAUUUUAUAAAGAAUACAUUUAUAUAAUCUAAUCUAAUAGAUUAUAAUUAUAUGAAGGCUUGAUUCGCAAAUUGGUACCUAAGUUAUGUUAUUUUUUCCAUCUUGGUAUCUAAACUUUUUUUUUUUUGUUAUCAGUCAUCCUUAAGCUAUUUUUUCCCCAAAUUGGUAUAUCUGUUAGUUAACCCAUUAAGUCUAUUUAAAAAAAAAGUUCAACCCACAAAUUAGUACCUCAGCAGUACUCUUUUUCUCAAAUUGGUACCUAAUUUUUUUAUCAUAAGUGAUACCUAAACUAUUCUUCCAUCACCAUUUUACACCAAAAUAUUAUAUUCGUUAAAAAAAUUACAACCAAUUAUAGAUUGUCACUUCAUAUAAACUUUUAAUUUUUUUAACUUUUAUUUAUUUAUUUUACAUUAAUUCUGUCUUUAUAUAUUUUAUUUAUUUAUUUUUCUUCCUUUAUAAUGCCUAGUAAUACCAACAAUACUUAAAAUUGAUUCGCUCGAGGUUGAGACACCGGUGAUUAAUUCUGUUUUGAAAUUUCACCAUGUUGAUUAAACCUUAUAUGAAUUAUAUUUAAUUUGAGUUGGAAUCACAAUAAAUAAUUAUAUAUAUUUAUGCAAGAAAUUAAGAAUUUUAUAUAGUUCAUGAAUAAUAUAUAAUUCAUAUAAGGCUUAAUCCAACAUUCACCCUUCGGCAUUUCCGGCAUACCAACAUCUACACCAUAUCAUCAGUGGGCAGCCCAAUCACUGACUUCUGUCGACGAACAGGCUUACACUCCGCUGCAAACAAUCCCAUCCACUCCAAGCGGCCAUAAAUCAACCCCAACAAUCGCCCCACACCAUCCUUGAACACCCCACUCCAUCCCCCAAGCCUUUCUUCACUCUGAAUACAAUACAUAAAAUAAAAAUGAAGAGACGACUCUCCCAUCUGCAAGGAAAGGAUGUUGCCCCCUUUCAACCAACCAUUCUCAAACCAUGGUUCAUGCCACCAACCAAGCUCACUUACCACCAAUAAUGGCUCUAAUCCAACAAACAGAUCGCAUUUUGCAAAGGAAAAUGAUCUCUUCAGCAAUCCACUCUUUUCCAUUAAGUAUUAAUUCAUUCCUAGCUAGCCACAAUGACCAUAACAUAGCGCCACAAGCAACAAGCCACUUCCUCUUAACAUUCGAUCUUCCAAACAUGCAGCAACGUACACAAAAUCACUGACAUUCCAAGGAAUCACCCACAUAACACCCCACCAUUGAAAAACAGUCCCUAAGCUUUCCAAGAGGAAGAACGAAAGAAAAAAAUUAUCACAAUUCUCUUCAGCAUCAUUGCACCAAGAACAAUUAACACAACCAUUAACUGUUGGAAAUACCUCGAUCCCUUAAAAAUGCAUUUUGAAGGUAUACCAUUUUGGAGUAACAGCCAUAGGAAGCAUUGCACCUUUGUUGGAACGCAUAGCUUCCAAAUGAAAGAAAACCACACCUUUUGAUGCGCCAAAGAACCUCACAAUCAAGAGAAAACACAACUUUCUUCACAGUACAUUUCCCUUUGCUGUCCACCUCCCACAUCAACUGAUCUGCCUUGUUCUCAUUUAAAGAGACCCAUUUGAAAAUCUGCCACAACUCCAUCGCAGACCCCCUCUCCUGUUCAAACAAAUCUCUUUUGAAAAAUCUUUCAUCCUUGUGAAGACCAUCCCAAGCCUCGUCCACCGUGAUAUUUUUCUUCAAAGCCAAGAAGAAAGUCUGGGGAAUCUGUCUUUCAAAGCACACAGUCCAACCCAAUGAUCCAUCCAAAAUGAAACUGAUCUCCCACUGCCGAGGCGCCAUAUAAAGCUUCCUUCACCUAACAUUUUGUCCAUCCCUUCGUGUCUUCUAACUUCCACAACAUUGGGAAUUCACCACAUUGGGCCUCCAACGAUAGUUGCUAAUACCAUAUUUUUCGUCCCUAUUAUUGAUGUGGUGAUUGUCAAUUUAAUUCUUACACAUUAAAAGUACAUAAAAAUAUUUUUAAAAAAUUAAAAAUUAAAAAUUAAAAAUUAAAUUUUUUUCUUAUUUCCAAUAAAAAAUUGUAAAAGGUUUACUAAAAAUUAUGAAAUGCAUUAUUUAAAAUUUAAAAUUAAAUAAAAAAUUCAAAAAAAUAUAAAUUAUUUCAAAAAUUCAAAAAAAAAAAGUAAUAAAGUCUAGAGUUAUCCAUAAAUUGGUUUGGACAAAGGUUUUAUGUCUCAAGCUGAGACCAAACCAAAAUAGAAUUUAAGUAAUCUAAAUAUUUUUAAAUUUAAAUUUAUUACAAAAAUUAAUAUAAAAUAUAUGUUUAAUAUUUUAUUAUUUUAAACAAUAAAACAAGUUUUUUUAGACGAGCUAAACCAAAAAAAAGCUUAACUGCAAGACCUGACCAGGCCUAAUAAGAAGCUUCAAUCUUCUAUGGAUGACGACUCAACGGUUAGUAUUAUUGUGAAGGAUAUUAAGGCAAAAAGCAAUAGGUCUGAGAACUUAACUUUUCGAUUUGUACCGUGUCGAUUUAACAACUCCGCACAUGUGCUCGUUAGUAUAGGCUAGUCAUAUUCUUGUUCCACGGACUAGAUGGAGGAAACCUCGGUGGCUGUCGAAAACGCUGCGUGUUAAUAUCUAUGGUGAGUUUUCAAUAAAUUGAACAAGAACUAUAUUGAAUAUGAAGAGAAUGUAUUAAACAAGAAAGAACUCUUUUGUAUUUAGACUAUUAGCUUGAUAUGUAUAUUGCAAUCAUGGUAUUUAUAGAACAUAUGAUUAUCUGUUACUACUUAACAACUUAACUAUUUUGAAUAACAAACUAACAGUUAGGCUAGAUGAAUAACACUCUUAACAUUCACCUAUCUUCUCGACAGGUAAAACUCGGAGAAGAUCUCGAAAUCUAGCAAAAGACGAUAUAAAGAGUGGCUUGGUAAGAAUAUCAACAACCUGUUCACAGGCAGGAACGUCACCAACAAUAAUAGAUCCAUCUGCUACUUUCUCACGAACGAAAAAUAGAUCGAGCUCAAUAUGUUUGAAUUUCGAAUGUAAGACAGGAUUAGCAGCUACAACAACAACACUAGAAUUGUCACACCAAAUGGUAGGGGGAUCAAUAUUGUGAAGAUGUAACUCUUUUAGUAACGAAACUAACCAAGUAACAUCACUGGUAGCUGCAGUAAGACUCCGAUAUUCAGCCUCAGUCGUAGACCAUGAAACUGCCUAUUGUUUCUUGAAACACCAUGAGAUAGGUGUGUAACCAAAAUACACACAAAUAUCACAGGAUUCGUUUUGAAACAACCAUAUAAACAGUAGCGGGCGCAUGCAUGAACUGGCAAACACAAUUCACAGCAUUAGCAAUAUCAGGACGAGUCAAGACCACAUACUGUAAAGUACUUAGAAGACUUUUGUACUCAGUAGGGUCAUCAAGACAAUCUCCGUCAUUCUUGGACAAAGUAGACUAGCUAAUCAUUGGAGUAUGAACACUUUUUGCAUGAGUCAUAAAACUCCUAUCAAGUAAAUCGUGAAUGCACUUCCUCUGACAAAGAUGAAGGCACCCUGUGGAGGAACGAGUGACCUCAAUCCCUAAAAAAUAGUGUAGAUCUCUCAUAUCUUUAAGUGAGAAUUUGUCAUUUAACUGCUUAACAAAGCUAUUUAUACAAUCAGACAUACUGCCAGUAAUGAUAAUGUCAUCCACGUAGACAAGCACAUAAAGGAUGGAGUUAGUCGUAACUUUAACAAACAAAGAUGCAUUAGAUUUGGACAUAGUAAAGCCAACAGAAAGAAGAUAACACUUCAGUUUAUCAAACCAAGCACGCGGAGCUUGACGAAGCCCAUAUAAAGCUUUCUUCAGACGACAGACUAAAGGCCUGCCAGUUGAGCCAUAUUGAACAUACCCUGGAGGUUGUUGUAUGAAUACCUCGUCAACAAGAUCACCAUUCAAAAAUGCAUUAUUCACAUCUACCUGACGGAGUUGCCAUCACUAGAAACAACAACAGAUAAAAUGACACGAGUAGUAGCAGGUUUUAUCACGGACUGAACGUUUCUUUGAAAUCAUACCCAGGCACUUGAGAACACCCUUUAGCUACUAAGCGAGCCUUUCGACGGCCAAUUGUACCAUAAUGAUUUUUCUUAACUUUGAAAAACCAUUUACAUCCAAUUGCCUUAUGAUUAGAUGGUAAUUGAACAAGAUCGCAGGUGAAAUUAUUGAUGAGAGCAUCAUAUUCUGCCUGAGCCGCAGCUCGCCAUUCUAUGGUGGAAAGGCUUCUUCAACCAUGAGGUCUAAGAACUUCAACUGACAAUGCCUUAGGCUUAAAAAUGUCAGCCUUAGACCGAAUAACCAUCGGAUGAGUAUUUGCUGGAGGCAAAGAUGAUGACGAUGGAGAGAAAGAAGUAUUAGCAAUAGGUACAACAGCAGACGGAGUAUCAGCAUUAUUGUGUAAAGAAUGUGGCUUAUCUACCUCAACCUGAGGAUUGGUAGAGACAGAUGGCGAAAGGAAAAAACCAAGAGGUGAAGAUGAUACACGUGGUAGAACAGAUGAAGACUCCAAAUGCUGAGAAGGAACGUUGACUUAGUACCAGACGAAGCCAUGAAAUCCCUUGUAGCAGGUAAAGGAGCCAAGAACCUUUGUUCAUUAAACAUAACAUGACGAGAAAUAACAACCGUACCAUCCAGCAUAAGACAUUGAUAACCUUUGUGUUGGGAGCGAUAUCCCAAGAAUGUACAAGAUUGAGAAUGAAAAUCCAACUUAUGAGACAAAAAUGGUCGUAAGUACAGAAAACAACAACACCCAAAUACUGUCGAUGAUCAUACGUGGGAUCUUGUCCAUAAAGAGCCUUAUAAGGAGUCUGGCCAUGCAGAACUGAGGUAGGGAGACGAUUGAUGAGAUGAACAGCACAACAAAAUGCACAACGCUAAUAUUUCAUAGAAAGAUUCGCUUGAGCCAAAAGUGUAAUACCCAUUUCAACAAUAUGCGGAUGUUUGCGUUCAGCCGCCUCAUUCUGUUCAAAACUAUGUGGACAAGACAACCGAUGAACUAUCCCUUAAGUUGUUAGAAUAGACGUGAAAGUGCGAAAUUCGCCACCCCAAUCACUCUAAAAUUGUUUGGUAUUUUUCCCGUAUUGAGUUUUGACAAGCUGCUGAAACUGAGCAAAACAAUCGACUGCUUGAGACUUUUGGCGAAUAAGAUAAAUCCACGUAAAUCGAGUGCACAUCUCAACAAAGGACACAUAAUACCAAUUAUGACCACAUGCAACUGAUGCAGGCCCCCAUAGAUUAGAAACAACCAAAGCAAACGGUUCACUAUAGCUUCAUCCAGUCUGAGAGGUUGACUGGUUUCAAAAUAGGAACAGCUAUUCCGUGUCCACUAAAGUAGAAGAACAGGACAUCUCCUGGUCUAGCAGUGUGUACCAUUUCAUAAAGUGCAGCCUUGAUUUUUAUACCCGUAGGCAUAGCCAAUGAGUCUGGUAUAUAAUUGUCAAUCAAAGUUAAACCUUCUCAUAAUCAACCUUCUUAUGUUCUCCACAUCAUUUAUGCAUCCUUUCAGGUUGUAAGGGGUCUUUGGGUAAUUACAACCCACAAGAACAGCUUUCUUUUUAUGCACCAGCUUGUUAAUCAUGGGUAAGGCUAAGGGUGUUGGAAUGGUGGCCAGGAAAGCUGUACCGACAUUCUUAUCACUGCAAUAAAGGCAUAAGGGUGUUGCUCGUGAAAUCCAAGGCUGGUUAUUUCAUCCCUAGCAUUCAUCACAAGCUGUUUAUUAGUUAAUGUACCAUUGGUCUCGUUGAUAAUCUUUUGAAGUGAAUAUAUAAGGCCCCAUACGCCUUUCCUUGGGUUUUGUCACUCGGUUCCAAAUCAAGGGAUAGCUCAUCGGCUUGGCACCCACUCAAUAGAAUCCCCUCAUCCUCCGUUAAUGACCUUGGCUCCUGAGAGGGUUGGAAUUUUAAACUGACGUUGUCUCGAAAGAUUCCGGUCAAAAGAUGGCCAAUGUUGCUGACAAUAUCUAAUCCAGUGCUGAAGGCAACUGUUGUGCCCAAUACGUCUGAUGCGGCGUUUAUGACGUUGGCUGCUGGGCGUCAACAGAUGGCCUUGGUGUAUUGAUUCAAGUGAAAUUCCCCGCUUCUGGGUGUCAACAGAUUGUGCUAUACUCCUUAGAGUACUAUGGGGUCCAAUUUGUUCUUUCUCUUUGACAAUAAGACCACCGCUGUGGCACGAAUCUGAAACGAUUGUGAAGCUUGUUUCUUUUGGCAGCUGCUGAAUCAAGAGCCUGAUGUCCACAUCUGCACUGCCAUGUUUAAUUAUACUGAUUUAAAUUGCAAGAGCUAAAUAAGUUAGCUUAAUAAAUAUAUUUUAUAUUUAUAAAAAAAUGAUAUGAUUAAUAAAGGAAAAUAUGUAGUUGACGAGUUGUGAUCCCAUUUUGGAAUCAUGGAUUCAUGAUCAACAUUAAUAUAUUUUUUAAAAAUUUAAUUAUUAUUUUUUAAGAUUUAAAGUUGUAUUUAUAUUUUGACAUUUAAGGUUGAAUUUUCGAUUUGUUGAAUUUGGGUUUCGAAAACUAUGAAAUUGUGGGUUCAAACCCUACUAUGUGUACUAUAUUUCUAUUUUUUAUUCAUAAAAAGAAUAAAAAUGACAAAAAAAAUUUCUUUAAAUUAAUAUAAUUUACUUUAUAAAAUAAAAUUAUUGUGCAAAUUCCACUAUAAGACACCACUAAUUAGGAAGAAUAAAAAACCUACCAUAAAUGAGAUUGAGAUCACAAGGCACGAUCGCAUCAUCCUUCUGGCCUGGUUUCAUGUCUGCCUCAACUCCAUGUCCACUCAAGAGGAAUAAUAGGACAUCUCCUUCUUUAGCCUCUUUCACCAUUUUUGCAAGUCCAGCCAUAAUUUUAGGCACAUUUGAUAAGUUCGGUCUUGACCCGGCCCCAAAAAUUGGUCUAAAAUUUAACCUAAGCUCGACCUGAAUAAAAAUGCUAACACCUGAACCUAGCCCGACCUGCCCGUAUUAAAAAUUUUUACAUUAUUUUUUAAAAUAUAUAUAAAACACUCAAAACAUUCAAAUAAAUGUUUCCCAACAACUUGAAAAUAAAAUUUAAAAAGUAUUUAUACUUAAAUAACACUAGCAUAGGUGCAACUUAACUAAUAAAUAUUACUAAAAUAAUAACAAAAUUAACAAUAAAAUAAGAGUUAUAUAAUAUCCAAACAAUAAUAGCAAAAAUGUAGUAACAUAAUAGUGAAAUGACAGGAAAACAGUGAGAAAACAACAUAUUUUUUUUUCUUUUUGUAAAUUCGGGUUGGGCUGGGAAAAAAAACCUUACUUGAGGCCCUUAUCUAAGCCCAUUUUCGGGUCUAUAUUUUUGUUCAAUCCCUCCCACUUUUUGAGAGUCCAGCUUGAUCCAUGGACAUGUCUAUUUUUACAAGGUUACACCAAAACAGACUUUUAGCGGUGCUUGGACAAAAAAUGCCGAUAAAAAUCAAGCAUUAGCGGCACUUUAUGGAAAUCGGCACUAAAGAUCUAGCAUUGGCGGUGUUUUUCAGAAAAAUGUCACAAAAAACCGAAGCCCAACGACGUUGUUUUCUUACCUUUUUGGGCUUUAGCGGCGUUUUUGAAAAAGCGCUGCUAAUGCUCGGGAUUUAGUGGCGUUUUUGAAAUGCGCCGCUAAUGCUCGAGGUUUUAGCGACGUUUUUGAAAAAGCGCAGCUAAAAAUAUUUUAUCUUAAUUGGUUUAUUUAUAUUAAUUAAAUAAAAUUCAAUUUAUUUCUAAUUGAAUAUUUAAAAUCUUCAGAAAAAAUAAUGACAAGUAGAAAUAAUUUGAAAUAAAACACAUGGAAAAAAAUUUUAAAGUUUUUUUGGGUACAUGAUUACUGAUUGUUUUUUAAUUUAUAUAUUAAAAAAUUUCUUAUAUAAUCGUAAUCGUAAAAGAGAUAGUAUUAAUUUUAAAAUAUUGAAUUAAUUAUCACUAUAGUUUAGGGUUUUUGGUUUAGGGCAUAUGAUUUAUUUAAGAUUUAAGGCCGGUUUAAGAGUUACUAUUUUAAGGUUUAGGGAGUAUGGAUUUAGGGAUUAUGGAUUAUGGUUUAAGGGUUGAGAUUUAAGAUUUAAGGGUUAGGGGUUAGGGGUUAAGAGUUAGGGAUUUAGGGGUCGGGUUAGGGUUUUGGGUUUAGAUUAAUUAUUUUUUUAAUUUAUAUUUUAAAGAUGUUCUUAUAUAAUUAUAAAAGAGAUAAUAAUAAAUUAAAUAUAUUGAAAUUAUGAGUAUAGUUUAAAUUAUUUAAGAGAUAUAUAAUAGAUAGACUUUAUAUGUAUUGAAUAAUUAAUUUAGGGUUUAAGGUUAAUGUUUACUUGAGAUUUGUUAAAUUAUAAAAUUUUAUACAAUUAAUUAAUGCUUUUAUAUUUAAAAAAGUUUAAUCUAAACCAUUUGAUAUAUUUAAAUAUUAAUUUAAAUAGAAUUAAUAAAUAAGUUAAAAAAAUAAUAGAUUGAUAUGGAUAUUUAGGUAUUAUUAUUUAUUGUAGAGAUGACCAAAUUACAAAAUAUAAAAUUAAAAUACAAAAAUAAAAUGAUUUUUAUUCAAAAUAAAAUAAUUUUUUACAACAUUUUUAUAAAAACGCCGUAAAAGAUAAAUAAUAACGACGUUUUACUCCAAAUUUUACUUUAAAAAAUCGCGCAUUUUACCCAAAUUCCCCCCUUUAAACUUCCUGUGGCGGACAAUAUUUUCUCAGUUGCCACUCUCUAACAAACACUCUGCACUCCCAUGGCUGAUGAGACACCACAGGCCACUCCACAGCCUCUCACUCCCUUCUCCGCUGUGGUGCCCACCCCUUUCAUCGCCGUAAAAAAAAAGUUAAAAACAACAGAAUGAUGGAAUAACUAAAUCCAAAUCCCAACUUUUCUAUGUUCUUAUAGAAAAUAUUUGAUUCUCCCUCCAUCUUACAAACUUUUUAGUUCCCUUCCCAUUACAAAUCAGUUUUCCAUUCCAAACCCUAACAAAUGGCACCUUUGGACCCUCACUCCUUCACUGACUCUCCCCACCCUUUAACCACCGACAUCUCCCUUUCCCCUUUAUUAGACUUCUCUUCUGCCACCAUCUACGGCGUCGCUUUCUUCAUCCUCAAAUCCCCUCAUGUAGGUCAACUUUCUUUUGAUACCCGUUCCCUUUCCAUUCACUAAGUCCUUCCUCCUAUUACCCUUUCCCCUCUCCCUUUCUCUCUUUCCUCUUCACCUGACCCUAUCAAAGGAAACCAGCUUUCCAUCUCGCUACCAGACGAUGACGUUUUGAACUCCUUCUUCAUCGUUUUCUCUACUUCCCCUUCUUCUUCUGCUCUCCAAUGGCUAUCCCCGCUGCAAACGUUUAACAAAAAAACACCCUUUUGUUUAUACCCAAUGCCAGUGUAUCCACGCGCGUUCCAUUUUCCCAUGUCAAGACACUCCCGCGGCGAGAAUUCGUUGCUCUGCUUUGCUCAAUGUAUCUCAGAAGUUAUCCGCCGUUAUGUCCGCCCGCCAUGUCGAUAGGAGGUCACCGGUUUCUGGUGAAGGACAUUCGCAUUUGCUGCCUGACGGGUUUAAUUCGUUGUGGUUCUUCUGCCUUUUUGCGCCUCUCCCUUUUUUUUUGGCUUUCUUGGUUCUCAGUUUCUCAAUUCUAUCCACAGUUGUAUGGGGAAACCAAAGCACUACCGACCGCCGGCAAGUUCUUUCGAACUUUAUUGCUUUCAAAUUGGCGAUUUAAAUUUUAAAAGUUGACUUAUUGUAAGGACUUUUUUCUCAUAAUUUAUGGUGAAAUUUUACAGGGAAAGAAAAAGGAAGGAAAUGCUGCGAGAUAUGUGACGAGGUCACAAGCUAUUAAAAUCCUUCAAGUUAGCCUUUCAGAUUUCAGGUUCAUCUCUUCUUUCUCACUUUUAUUAAUUUUUAUUAUAAUUUAAGCUUCCUUUAUUUGCCUUCUUUUGUCAUUUUUUUUCAUGUUGUUUUUAGCUUCGAAGAUUAAUUAGCUAAGAAUUUGAAACUAUUGAGCUUCGUUAAGCUGAGAUUAGUUCAUCAAGUAGCAGUUAGUUGCUACUUUUGCUCACUGAAGCAAAGAGAAGAAGUGUGUGUGGAAAAUAUUCUUAUUGCUAGCUUUUUACUUCAGCAUGAGUUUAUGACUAUGUUCAUUUUAUGUUAUAUUUUAAAGCUAUUUGUUUUUUUUAUUUGAUAUGAUUUUGCUAUUAUUAUUAUUAUCAUAAAAAAUCGAGGAUUUUAAUAAGAAAACAUAAAAAAAGCCUCAACCAAAUGAAACGCGUAUUGAUGGGGUUUGUUAUUUUUUAUUAAAUAUGGUUGGCUUCCUUUUGCUUUAAUGGAUUUAAUACUGCAGGAAACUAUGCAUCCACAAAGGAGUAUUUCCGAGAGAGCCAAAAAAGAAAGUGAAAGGAAAUCAUCAUACUUACUAUCACUUGAAGGAUGUCAUGUACAUUCUUCAUGAUCCAUUACUUGAGAAGUUUAGAGAAAUAAGGGCAUAUCAAAGGAAGAUAAAGAAAGCUAAGGCUAAAAAGAAUGAUGAGUUAGCAAAGCUUCUUAUAUCUCGUGCACCUUCUUACAGACUUGAUAUGGUCAUCCGUGAUAGGUUUGUGAAACAAUCUUUGUAUGUUUUAUUUCCUCUCGUUGCUAGUUGUAUGAAUUCUGUAAAACUUUUAUAGUAAAACUUUUGUAGUAAGCAGCAACAUAACUAAAUCACCAUAUGCUGAUAAUGAGAAGAUUUAUUGUUCCUAUUCCCUUGGCUCCAAUUUUUUUGGUUCAAAACUUGAUGUCUAAGUGCAUGCUUGAGUAUUUGGCAAUCAAUCCUGUGAAAUAGUUUCUAGUUAAGGUGGCAUAGAAGCAUAUAGUCCAGGCAUAAUCUGUUCUUAAAAUUUAUGAUUGUUUUUUGGUUUCUCCUCUCCACAAACUGUCUAAUGUAUUUGGCAGAAUGAGAUGAUGCUAUUUAUGCCUAUACAUGCAUUUCUCUCUGUGGAUGGGUAACCUAUAUCUUUGAUUUGAGGCAUAGUUUGAUGACAGCAUAACUUAUUGCUGAAGUUAUACAGCCACGUUGUUUGCAUGCUGAUGACCAGUUCUGACAUUUAAGAUUUCAGAAUUGAGAUGGAUUUCCAGCCUGGAGGAUGUAUAGAGCCUGGAGAAGGUUAUGAUAAAUACUGUGCUUAUUAUUGCACUUAUAUUAAAUAUUGUACCCUUCUUUGCGAAAUUGUUGUCUUUUGAAAUAUCUUUAAGAUUAAGGAACUAUACUAAAUGCGGUCACAAAACUUAUGGAGGGCAGUUAUACUUUUUGCUUUCAUUAAUGAAUAGCUUUCUUGUCUUUAUCUGCCCUUAUCAAAUAAGAUUUUAUUAGUUAAGGGAUGUUUUCUGGAUCAGCCUUCAAUUGAUACUGUAAACAAUUUUCUUAUGUAAUUCUAAUAUAGAAUGUAUCUUGUUUUAAUAGCUCUAAUGCAUGGCUAUAAGGAGUCAUUAGCAUUUUUAUUAAGUUGUUUGGAUUUGCAGGGGAAAAAUGAAUUGCAAGUUUAUUUCAGCUUCUCAGUAACUUACCUUGUUUGCCCUAAAAAGUUGUGGUAUUUAAUACAACAAAAGUUAGUAUUAAAUAUCCAUAUACUUUUAGCUACAGUUUUUGAAUAUGCAAAAAAUGCAUCGAUAAUAAUGAAAUAAGAUGGAUGAAUAGAUAAUAUGGAUUAUUGCUUGCAACUUCCUUUCUUUUUUUUCUUUUUUUUGGAAAUAUGCAACUUCCUUUCUUGGUUGUCUUUAGUUGGCAAUAAAGUUUGCUUUAUUUAUAUUGCAAUGUUAAUUACUCUUUUAUCUCAAACCUACUUCAUUGCUCAGAGAAUGCAUAUUCUUCUACAUCUGACAUGAUGGCCUUUUUAUCAUUACAUGUUAAGCCUUUUCUACAUCUGACAUGAUGGCACAUGUAGGGAGAUUGAAAAUGAGUAUUUAGGUCUGAGAAAUGGCAUACUGGAUCAAUCAGCCAUACUGCUUUCAAGCCAUGGUUGUCUAACUUGCAUGAACUGCAAAGUAAGUCAAACUUUUUGUAGUAAUUUCAGGAAUAACAUAUCCUUCUUUGUUUUGAAGUGUUCGAUCUAUUUUUGUUAGCUUGGCACUGCUUAUGCUUAAUUUAGUCUUCAUACAAUUGCUAUAAUUGGUUAUCAGCCAGAUUUAUGAUUGUUUUCCACUGACUCAUUUAUGAUUGUUUUCUAUUUUUAUUGAUUUAUGUAAUCAAUCUCAAUUUUGCUUUUUGCAAAUUAAUACUAUUGUUCCUUGUUAAAAAAUUGAAUAGUUUAGACAAUCAUUAGAAAGAAUGCCUAUUUAUAACACAUGGAAGUGCUAUGAUUGAGAUUGUUUGUUAGUAUGGUUCAACCUGCUACUAAAGUUGUACAUAAUUGUUUGUUAUAUAAUUUUUAUUUUUAACAUCUCUGUUGUUUACCAAGUUUGUUGGUUUAUCUGAUCAUUUGGUUUUGCAUCCUUUAGAUAUUGAAGGUGUUGUAGAGGAUUCAAUCUCUUCAAGCUAGAAAAGCCAAGGCUUAGCACUUCUUCAAGUGGUGGUCGUUUAUCUUAGUCGGAACUUAAAUUUGGUGUUAUUGAAACAGGGUUUUGUAGCUACCUUGUGUACUAGCUUCUUUAACCAUGAUUGUUAAUUAUUACGUGUUUUGUAGCUUCUUUUAUAUUUGGCCGAGUUAAUAUAGAUCAGAUGAGCUGUGAGGUAGAUUGCUCAUUUAUUUAAACAUAAUAUUUUAAUUCUAAAUUUAAAUUCAUUAAUUUUUAUAUUUAGCUUUAAAGUUCAAAUUUUAAUAGUAAUUUUAAUUUAAUAAAAUUUUUUAUCCUAUAUAGUUUAAAGUUUAAAUUUCAAAAAUAAAAUAAAAUAAAAUAUUUAUCAUAGAAAUAAAUAUUAUUUAAUUAAAAUAUAUUUUUAAAAGUCAUGUUUUUAGUGGCGUUUGUGAAAAAACGUCGUUAAAAGUUAUUCUUUAUAGUGGUAGAAGUGUCAUUAAAUGUCAUGAUUUUUAGCGGUGUUUGUGGUAGAAGUGUCACUAAAGGUCAUGAUCUUUAGCGACGUUUGUGAUAAAAGCGUCGCUAAAGAUCAUGAUCUUUAGCGGUGUCUAUGGUAGAAGAGUCACUAAAGGUCAUGAUCUUUAGCGGCAUUUUUUCACAUAAAUGCCGCUAAAAUUAGCGACGUUGUCUAUAGAGGAACUUUUUGCGGCCUUUGUUAAAGCGCCGCUAAUACUUUUAGCGGCGUUCUAAAAGCCUAAAAAAGUGCCGCUAAAGUCUAUUUUGCUGUAGUGAUUGAUAGUUAAAUUUGAUUUUUUUUAAAGAUUAAAAGACGAAAUUUAACUAAAAAGGACCAAAUUAAUAAAUGAUAUAAUGAUUGCCUAUUUUUAUUUGCUUCUUUUGGUGUUCAAGAAUAAUACAUAUUAUACAUAUACAUGGAUAGAGCAAAUCACGUGCACCAUUCAAAAAAUUGGGUUUACAUGUACUAUUAGUUAAUUAGAUGACUCACUUCAAUAAAAAAUAAAAUUAUUUGGUUCAUAAAAAAAUGUAUUUUUUUAAAACUAGAAGUUACAAUAUUAACGAAACAUUACAUUCAUUCUUUACUCAAUAAUUAAUUAAAAUAUUAAAUUAAUAAUCAAAAUAUAUCUAAAUUCGUAAUAGAAUGUUUCAUACAUAAGUUACUCAAUCACUAUAUUGCAUUGUUUAAUCGUCCAAACAAGUUUUAACUUUCGUUGUAACAACUCAAAAGAAUAAUUACAAACGAAUGUAUUUUUAGACUAAAAUGUAGAACUAAGGCUUAGUUUAGAUGAGCAGUGCAUUUACCUAUAGUUAGUGUAAAAACAACGGUGAUGGUGAGAUUAGAUACUGUAACGAUAUUGUAAUGUGAGACAAAAAUAAACUAAACGCAUCGUGUACAAGCCCAAUUUAUGCCCGAGGCCCCAAAACCAAACCUAAACCCAAAACCCUUACCCAUUAACUCGAACCAAGCCUAAUACCCCAAAUUAGGCCCAAACCCGAAACCCAACUAGUCAGACUAGGGUUUCAGAUACUGAAACCCUAGCACCACUUUUCUCACCUCAGCUCUCUGCCCUCCUGGCCGUAACCUACUUCUUUUGCUCUUCUGCCGUCGCCGCACCCUAGCCUCCAGACCUGGCGCCGUCCAUCAAUCUCCUGCAAAGAAGAAAAUCACGCAAAGAACUGUGGCAAACAGAGAAAAAGAAAAAGAAAACUAAAAUUGUAACAACCCGGUUUGACUCUAAUCGGAAUAGUGGUUUCGGGACCACACAUCCGAGUCUGAAAAAUAUUUUAGUAUUUUAUUUGGUGUUUAUUAUGUGUGAAUUUGCAUGUGUGAAAGUUUCAUGAAUUAAUAUUAUGGUUUGAGUGCUUAAUUAAAGAAAAAUGACUUAAUCGUGUAAAAAAAAUAAAAAGGCUAGUUAAUGUGUAAAGUUUUAAAUUGCUAAUGUCUUUUUAAUAUGGAGUCCUUAAUAGGUUAUUAGCCCACUAUUAAGUAAGUGGGUGGUAUUGGUCAAGAAUGACCCUGUUUUAUAAGGUAUAUAAAUUUAUAAACAAAGGUUAAAUAAGUAAACUAGUAAUAUGUUAAUAUAUGUUAAAUUAUAUCAAAAUAUAAUUCAUUAUUCUUCAUCUCCUUAUGACCGAAACUAAAGAAAACAAAAAGAGAAAAACAUAAGCUAGGUUCGGCCAAUUUACAAGCUUAAUUCAAGGUUAGUUUUGUUUUGAUUUUUAAUAAUUUUUACGUUUUUGAGAUCGUUGCUUUGUGUUCUUCAAAACCCAUGUUUUAAUUUUGUGAAUUGUUGAUGAUUUUGAAAUGUGCCAUUGAUGAAUGCUUGGACUUUUUGAUAGUUGAUGAUGAAAAAUGAAAGAUAUGUGAUAGAUUGAUAUGUUUUGUAUUGGAAUUUUUAGUGAAAUUGGGUAAAUAGGGCUAAAUUGUGAAAUUAAAUUUUUGGGGGACUAAAAUGUGAAAUAAAUGCAAUGUGUGGACUUGUAUGAGAACCAUGAAUAUUCGGCCCUUGUGUGGUAUGGGAAAAUUUUGUGUAAAUUGUGUUUUAUGCAAUAGGGAGUAAAUUGCAAAAAAGUAUAAAUAUUAGGGGCAAAAUAGUAAUUUUCCAAAUUAUGUGUUUUUGGACUAAAUUGAAUGUGUUAAUAAAUAAAUUAUCUUAUUUUUAAUAUAUUUAGAUCGAGAACCAAAGAAAUCGGAGUUAGAUCGGGGAAAAGCCAAAUUAGUCGAAUAAUCGUCCGACUUCGAUUUUCCAUCGUCCGAGGUAAGUCUAUUAGCAAUUAAAAGUUAUUAAGUUAACAUUUAUACAUGUAUACUAAUUGUAUUUUAUGUUGAGCUAUAAUUAAAAGUAUAUUGAUUGAAUAAAUUUUGAAGUAUGGAUGAUAUUUACAUAUAUAGCAUGUUCGAAUAUACAAGUAUAAUCUUGUAUAGAUUUAUGGUUUGAAAUAAAGGUAAGAAAUGUAUAAGAGUAUAGUUGAUAUUCGAAUAAGCAUGUAUAUAUAUAUAUGUAUAUAUAUAAUGCUAGAAUAUAUAUAUAUAAGUUAUUGAAAUUAGUUAAAGUAUGAAUGUUGCAUAGGUAUAAAUUCUUGAUUUUAAUUAAAGGAAUGUAUAAUAUAUAUAUAUAUGGUGCGAAUAUAUAUAUGUAGGUAUAUAUAUGUAUAAACACUUGGAUUUAUUUAAAGUUAUGUAACCCAUGAUUGUAUGAGAAGUUUUGAAUAGAUAUGUAUAUGUGAAUUGUAAUUUAUAUGUAUAUGCUAUAUUUGAAUAAGCAUGCUUACAUAUAUGUAUAUGUUCUUGUAAUGGAUUUUAAGUAUGAGUGUUAUAUAUAUAUGCAUAAAUGAAGUUCGAAUAUGUACAUAUAUAUAUAUAUAUAUAUAUAUAUAUAAAUGUACAUCUAUUGUAUAUUUGACGAGCUAAAAUUAAAAGUAUAUGUAUUGAAAAUUAGUUGAGUAUGAAUGUUAUAUAUAUGCAUAUGUGUGAGGUUCGAAUAUAUAGUUAAGUAUAUAUAUAUGUACAGGUAUAAUUUCUUGUAUUGAAAUUAGGUAUGGAAUUAUAUAUUGAUAUACAUGGUUGAAUGUAUAUGUAUAUAUAUGUUUAAGAUUUGCAUUGAAAUUAAAGUAUAAAUUUUAAAUGCUUGUAUGAUUCGAACAUGGACUACAAAUUUUCUUGGGAUAGAGUUGAGAUUGUGAAUUUUUUUUCAGACUUUAAGUCUAGCAGGCUAAUUGCCGGUGAUCUGAAUCAGGUUAUAAACCUAGCAGGCUACGUGCCGGUGAUCUGAAUCAGGUUAUAAACCUAGCAGGCUACGUGCCGGUGAUCUGAAUCAGGUUAUAAACCUAGCAGGCUACGUGCCGGUGAUCUGAAUCAGGCUAUAAGCCUAGCAGGCUAUGUGCCGUUGAAUCGGUUUAAUUAAGUGAUUGUAUACAUUGAAUAUAUAUGUAUAUGAUUUGGUUAUUUGUAUUGGAUUAAUAUAUGAACAUCUGUUGCUAUGUUUUUGAUGAGCAUAUAAAAGCUCGAAUCUUUGUGUCUGGUGAGUAUUAGAGGUGUUCAUGGGCCGGGCCCAUAGAAAAUUUUCACCCGCAUACUAGGCCCGGGCCUGACCCGGCCCGAAAUAUGAGCCUGAAAUUUUGUCUAGGCUCGGCCCGGGAAAAAAUUCUUAGGCCCAAGCCCGGCCCGACCCGUUUUUUUAAAAAUAAACACCAUUUUUAAAAAAAAAUUAAAAAAAGUAUUUUAAAAAUAUAAAAAAUAUUUUUUAUUAUAUAUUCGGGCCGGGCCCGGGCCAAAAAAGUCUUGCCGGAGGCCCGGCCCGUUUUUUAAAUGAGCCUCGUUUUUUUGCCCAAACCCAUAUUUCGGGCCUAUAUUUUUACCUGAACCCUCCCAUAUUUCGGGCGGGCCGUCGGGCCAGGCCGGGCCGCCCGGCCCAUGAACACCUCUAGUGAGUAUAUAUAUAUCUAUGCGUUUGGCAUAUGUGAACUAAAGUAUAUAUAUAUGUGCAUUCGGCACAUGUGGUUGAUAAGUAUAUUUGGAAUUUAUAUAUAUGAUUAAUGAUUAUGUAUAUAACUUGAUUUUUAAGUAUAUAAUGAUAAUACAUAUGAUCGUUUAUAUAUAUUUUGGAUAUGCUAUAAACUUACUGAGCUAUAGAAGCUUACUUUGAUUGUUUUUGUUUAUUUGUUUAUAGAUUUUGGAGACGCGUUACGAGCUCGGGGAUCAUCAGCAUAGUCCAUCACACUAUCGACUUCUUUUGGUAUUUUGUUAACAGUUUGAACUUGAUCUUAUGGCAUGUAUAGGUUUGAGUAUGAUUUUGGUUAGAUUUGGAUUGAAUAAUAUAAUUAGCCAUGUGAAUAUGGUUUAAUUUCUACUUUUGUGAUCAAUUUGGUUUUUUUUUUAAAAAUGGUUGUGUUUGUUCUGUAAUGCCUCGUAACCCUAAUUCGACGACGGAUAUGGGUUAGGGGUGUUACAAAAAUAGCAUGUAAAAUUGGCUAUAAAGCCAAGUAUCAUCUCUGUAAUAGGGGUUCCCCACCCUUUUCUUCACGAUUUCAAGAAAUAAAAAGAAAAAAAAAAGGGAUUCAAGGAUUCUUUUCUUCUUUUCGGCAUAAGAUCUAUUUUUCUUUUUUUAUUUAUUUUUAUUUUUCUCUUUAUUUUCCUUCCUUUUGAAAUUGUUUAUAUACAUACAUAUAUUUCUUUAGUUUUCUUUUUUAACUAUUUAUACACAUAUAUAUUGAAAAAAAGUUUAAAAAAGAGAGAGAAACUUACCUUCCUUUGGAUCGCCUGAAAGAGAGGGAUUUUCGACCUUCCGGCCGCCGCAUACGGCAGCGCCGGUGCCGGCACAGAUGGCCGUCGCGACGGUGAUUGGCCGAAUUUUGGCCGGACCCUGGCCGGAAAGGGAGAGAGGGGAGAGAGCUGUUGAAAGGUUUUUGGAGUUUUUUUUUUAAAAAGAAGGUUAAAAAUGAAUUUUUUGUCUGAUUUUUAGCUUAUAUAGGCCCAUUAAACGGCGUCGUUUUGGGCUUAAACAUCAAUGGCCAAAACGGCGCUGUUUUGCCUUAGACCAGCGCGCGACCCGACCCUCUCCAGGGAGGAUCAACGCGUUUUCGCAGAAUGGGUUAUUUGCAACCCUGGUCCUUUUGCGUUUAUGCUUCUUUUAAUUUACUCCCUUUUUGUUCAUUUUUGUUUUUUUUAAAUUUGGCCCCAGAAUUUUGUUUGGUUCUCGAUUAGGUCCCUGACCCACCAACGCGCUGAAAAUGGACAUGUGGCCUGGAAUUUGGGUUUAUUACCCAUUCGGCACUCCUCCCUUUCACGCUUUUCAGUUUGGUCCUUCUGUAUUUAUUUUUAUUUCUGUUUUGACCUUUAAAUUUUAUUUUUAUCCCUAAUUAGUCCAUCUUUGUUUAUUUUGUUAUAUUAUUAAUUAAUCUACUUAUUAUCUUAUUUAUAUUUUCUUUUUAUAUUUAUCUAUUCAUUAUUAUAUUAUAUUAUUAGUUUUGUAUUAUUAUUAUAAUCAUUAUCAUUAUCAUUAUUAUUAUUAUUUACUCAUUUAUACCUUUAGUUCAAAAUUAUACAUUUUUCUAAUAUAUAUGUAUAUACAUAUUUAUACAUAUUCUUUAUAUUUUAAAAUCUAUUUCUUCUUAUGUACUUUCUAUAUUUUAUAAUACAUAUAUAAAUAUAUUUUUAAUAUAUAUAUAUAUAUCAAUAUACAUUUUUAAUUUUUAUAAAUACACAUAUAUAUGCCUACAAUUACGCUUUUAUAUAUAUUACAAUUUAUAUACGUAUAUAUAUAUAUUUAUAUAUAUAUCCACAUACAUAUUUUAUACUUCAUAAUUUUAAUACACAUAUAUAACUUUAUAUUUUUAUAAAUUUUAUUCAUCUCUUUUAUUUAUUUAUUUAUUUAUUUUUCAUUAUUUUAAAAGAACAUUUUAACUUUACUUGCUUAUUAUAUUUGUUUUCGCAUGUUAUUAAUUUGUCCUUUUUUAUAUUCAUUCAUUUUUAUUGCUCCUAUUUUUAUACUAUUAUAUUCAAUAUCGCUUUGUAUGUGUAAUUAACCUCGUGUUUCAUUUCUACUAUUUCAAGUUAGAUUAAUUUAUCUCGACGCACAAGUUUCAACUUUCAAAUAAGCAAAAUUUCAUAUUUAGAUUUGAGAGGAUUGAGUCCUACCAUUAGGUUCCAAUUUUCUUCAUUGAAUCUAAAUAAUGGAGAAUGCUCUUUGAUAAAAAAAAACAUAAAUAGAAAGCUCAUUAUCGGGAAUUUAAUAUGUUGUAUCCUAAUACAUUGGAUAUGACACGUUUUCUCGAGACGAGGAUUUUUCUAAAAAAUAAUAAAGGCAAUAUUCAAUGUUUAGAAUUUUGAGAAAUUGUACCCUAACGUAUUGGGUUGCGAUUUUUUCAUCUAACUUAAACAAUUAGAUAUCCUUUUAAAUUUCAUUGCACAAGUUUUUUUGGACAAGCUCAUUUUUGAGGAAGUAAAAUAUCAUGCCCUAACUCAUUAGGUGUGACAUUUUCUCUCUUCGAAAUGAGAGGCUCUUAAUGGGUAAUUUGAUUUAUACAUUUCAAUAAAGGAUCGUACUUUAAAUCUCCGUAAAGUUUCUAAUUCUCGACACUAAGACACUAAAUAAUCAACUAGGUACCAAUUUUGGGCGUUACGAGGGUGCUAAUCCUUCCUUAUACGUAACCGACUCUUGAACCUAUUUUUUCUGAAUUUCGUGGACCAAAAUCGCUGUUUUAAUAAAAUCAAAUCGUUUAUUAAAAACAACCACUUCUCGAGGUGAUCCGAUCACACCUCAUCAAAAAGGAUUGGUGGGGACUCCCACUUUCGUUUUCAUUUUUUAAAUCCAAGUUGACCCCGUUUUAUCAAAAAAAUAGUGUUAACACACCGUACCACACUCAACCACCCAUCCAAACCUCACCUAAAAGUUGCUAGAGUUUCCUUCCUACCAUUAAACCAAUGUAUCAUCAACUAUUUGUACUUAUGUUUAAACACUUUAAUGGAGUUGCAUGAAAUGCAUGAUUGACUACGUGUAAAUUUAUACACAAAAAAAAACAAUAAUUUGAAAAGCUUUCCAUAGUACAAUUUUGAUAUAUUUGGCCUCUAAUAAGAAAUCAACAUAUGGAGUGGGUGAUUAAUCCGAAUCGGGGUGAGGACAGGUGUUGUGAUGGACAAAGCGUAAGACAAGGUGGUUCUCGACAGAAGCAAGAAAGCUCUGACAAAAGACAGCUAGGUAUUCCUUUUGCAGACAAAUUAAGAAGACAAAAGAUAGAAAAUAUAGGGUGGUGGUCGAAGAUAAAUGAUUAUAACAGCACUGAUAUGAUCUGCUUCGCCUUCGUCCACCACCUCAUCUUUAUGUUUAUAUCUUGGUCGUGACUCACGUUGGCCUUCGUCUGCAAGUGCUGUCGGUCCUACUAUUGUGCUUGUGUUUCCUAGCUUUGAUUUCUAUGUAUUAGGGUCUGGGGUGAAGUUAGAAAAAUAUUUUUAAGAAUUGAAGUUAAAUUAUAUAUUUUUAUAAGAGUUAAAAUGUAAUUUCAUAAUUAUAUUAGUUUAUGUUUUUAUAGUUUUUAGAGGUCUUAAAUUAAAAUCUUAUCAUUUUUUUUUGGAUAAAUUGUGAUUUUACAAUGUUUAACUUAUAAUUUUAUAGAUUUUAGAAAGGCCCAAAUAACAAUUUUUCAUUUUAGUGGUCUAAAAAGUAAUUUUCAUUUUAAGGAGGCCACUCCCCUUGCUCCAGUCACCGCCUUUACGACGAGAUUAAUUAUAGUGAGAUUGAAAAUAGAUGUGAUAGUGAGAUUAACUAUUAUGGUGAUGAGAAUAAAAUCACUGGUGAGACGUGUCUUAGGAUUUAAACAUAUAGAUUGUAGAUUUAUAGUAAGAGAGCAAAAUGACCAUUAUGAACAUUAAACUAAAAUUAAACUAAAUUAGUUUGCACCCUUCCGUAUCUUUUUUAUAAUUAAUAUUUUAACGAUAAAAACAUUAUAUUUCAUAUUUCAUUUAUAUAAAUUAUGCAUGUCAAAUUUGACGUAAAUUAAAAAUUUCUAACUAUUUGUUUUAUGUAAAAAUACUUUUAACUGUUUAAUAAAUGUUAAUAUAUACAAUAUUUUAGAUCGAUAAGAUAGAAAUAUCAAAUCAAUUUGAAAAUUUGCAUGCAUGAAUCAUACAAUAAUUUUGAUAAAUUCAAUGGUUGGAUUGUUAAAUUAAUAAUCAUAUAAAAAUAUAUGGAAGGAUGUAAAAUUACUUUAGUUUCACACUAGUGUAAGCGGAUCUCUCCCAUUUUAAUAUAUAAAGUUAAUUAUAUAAUUUAAAAUUAUGUAAUUAAUAUUAUUUAUAAAUAUAAGUAUAAAUAUAUUUCUUUAUAUGCCUAACUAAUGUAAAGAAAAUCCACAAAGAAGCUAUUUGUUGAGGGGAGGUCGGACUCUCUUUUGGGAGAAGUCUUCUAAGUGUCAUCUAUUUGGGAGUUGAUGGACCCCUCAAUAAGAGGUAUUUUUCUCGUGUUGGGGUUUCUUCCCUGGCCUUCACAAAGAGCAGCUAUACGAUUCUCAAAAGGGGGCUCGAUUGGUGGAGAUAGGUACAAUGGCUCUUUGCGAAGGUUGAGGGAAAAACCUUGACACGAUGACAAUACAUUUUGUUGAGGAUUCUGUUGACUCUCAAGCGGGCAAUACUUCGAAGACUUCUCCUAAGAGAAAAUCUAACCUCCCCUCAACACUAUUCACAUACACUUAUCCCAAACCAACAACCAAAUAUCACUACAACCACAAUCAAUCAUACAAAAAUGCCAAAUAAUCCCAAAUAAAAGAAGGAAGAAAGUCUCCUAUGUUAGCAUCCUCAAAUAGGACUUAUAGAAUUAAAAAAAAAAGAAUGAAAAUAUAUAAUAAAAAAAAUGAGACAUAAACGUACUGGAUUCAGUUAGGAGUUAGUCGGAGAGUUUUGGGCGUGGAGGCUCAAACAAAAGGUCGAGGAGAAAGUCUUAUUAAGAAGAUGAACAUAUUGGACUCAAGUGACCAUCCGAUGAUGGCAAACAAAGAUCAAAUAGCUUCCUUGUUAGAUUUUUAAGUUUGAAUCAACGAAGUUUCAGGCCAUUUUAAGGAAAAUUAAAUCAUAAAGUUGAAAGAGGAAGGAUAGAGCUAUACUUUUAUGUGUUUCUUUGGUAAAGGAGGAGGUUGGACAAUGGUGAGAUUGCUGGAAUACAAUAGUGAAAGAGGUUCCUAAAACUCUAAAACUUUUGAAUAGUUUAGUGACCAACUUAUAACUCUUCUGAAAUUAAGUGACCAAAGUGUAAACUUAUUAAUAUUUAAGUGACCUUGGGUGUAGUUUACCCCAUGAUGAAUAGUGAGUUAACGAUCAUGUCAGACAAACAUUAGCAACCUAAUGGUUCAAUGACUUAAAUGAUAGAUUUUGAAUAGUUAAAUGACUAAUUUAUAACUUUUUAAAUUACUAAUAGCCGAGUAAACUUGAAUGUAAUUUACCCUCUCUUGUUUGACUUAAAAAAUCAAAUACAAGAUGGACUUUUCCAUAAUAGGCCGACACCAACAAUGUGGAAAUAGCACGGUCCAUACCUAUAAUUGUUGAUAUCGAAGGAAGAAGACUUCAAUGACUAAAUGACAUGAAUAUAAUGUAGAAAAAGUUAUGGAAGAAAGAGUCCACGAACCCCCUUCUUUUUUGCCUCUAGAUUUGUAAGUUUGUGAAGAAAAACUAGUGAUAGUCUUUUUGUCCCUAUAUCUAGUAAACUACCCAUAAAAAUUAUCUCUUGAGUAGAAAGGGAUGACUUGGGAAAAAUUAAACAAAAUUUAUAAUUUUUUGGGAUAAAUUUUAAAAUUAUAUAAACAUUUAUUUAACGUGUAAUUUAAUACGUAAAUUUUAAUUUUAUGUAAUUAUAUAUACGAUCCCUUGUAAAAUGAGAAUUCAGAUGAAUUUAUGAAUUUACGUAUCAAAUUCAUUUUGGGGCUGGAAGCGCCCUUGUAAAUUUUACUUUUGCUCUUAAAAAAUGAUAAAAUUUUAAUUAAUCUUUUAAAAAUUAAAAAAAAGAUAUAAUUUAUUAAAAUGAUAAGAUUUCAUUUUAACUCUCCUAAAGAAUAUGUAAUUCAAUUAUGACUUUUUUAAACAAUAAAUUUUUGACUUCAUCCUUAUUCGAACUUCAAAAAUUACUCGAGAAAAAAAGUUUUGCUGAAUAAGGCAACAAACCAAAGGGAAACGAGAUUCACGAGGGGAUGAAGACGAAAUACAAAACCAAAGGGAUAACCAAAGGAGAAAAGUUGUAUAAAAUAUAUGUGGUAGCGGGGAAGAGAUGCCAAGGGGUUAAUUUAUAUUUUGUUAUUCAAUAUAUAUAUUUAAUUCUUUCACUAUUUAUUGCUAUACAAAUAUUAGAUUUAUUUAAAAAUUAUGCUAUUUAUUUGUCGGAUUAAUCGUAUUUCUGGCCAGAGCAUUGAACCUAUUUGAAGUGGUUUAUAUUGUCCUAAAAAAUUCCAUGUACAAACAAUAAUUAAUUUUACUUCCCCACCUAACUACUCUUGGCUGGGGUAGGUUCUGGCAGAGAAGUUAUAGACACAUUUUCAUACUUUGGGUUUGGAAUACUUUACUUAAUUUCCUUUGCUGUAUUGAGUUUUGGCAAUAUUUAUCAUGCACUUUGAGACCUAAAACUCUUGAAUAAUCUUUUUCAUUUUUCGGUUAUGUAUAGAAAGAUAGAAAUAAAAUGACCAUAAUUUUGGAUAUUCACUUCAUUUUGCUUGAUACAGGUUCUGUUUUUCUAGUAUACAAUAUCUGAGCUUAGUUCAAAUUUAAAUAAAAUAAUUUAAUAUUUUGAAUUAAACCAAACUUAAACAAACCUAUUGAUACUAAAUAUAAAUCUAACAUAAACCUAGCGGCCCAUGAGUGCUUUACAUACUAAUAAAAUCAACUAAUAUUUUAUAAAUACUAUUAAAUAUAUAUUAUCAGGUAAUAUAAAUGUUGAUCAAAUAACAAAAAAAUUCAUGUAUAUUCUUUACAUAAAGUUAGAAUCUUUUGCGCACUGUCUUAAAUCUAUUGACAUCGGUAUUAUUGUUAGUGCAGGAGAAUAUGUGUUCGAGUACACUGAGACAUAUUAUCCUCUUAUUUAAAGGUUGAGAAGAAAUUAUAAAUAAUUCUAAUUACUAUUUCAAAUUUUAUUAUAAUGGAUGAAUGGUUGUCUUAGAUCACAAGCUAAAUUUUGGGUUUUAUUUAAUAUUGGGCUAUUUGGUUUAUAAGACUCUUCGACCUCUUUUUUUUUUUUUUUUAAGAAUACAAACAAAUUGAGCUUAUUUUUUUUAUUUAUUUUUAAGUAUAUUUAUAUAAUAUUAAAUAUAUAAAUAUGUUUUAUUAUUUUGUUAUUAAAUAUUACAAAAAUUUACAAAUAAAUCAACAAAUUACAAAAAAACCCUAAGUUUUACAGAUUUUACGGUUUGAUCCUUAUGUUCUGAAAUAUUAACUGUUUAAGUGAUGAAUGAAUAUUUGUUACACGUUUUAAGCUUUUAUUUAUUAAAAUUUGCUUUAUUUCUAUGGAUUUUUAAUUAAAUUUGAGGACAAUGCAUAAUAUUAAAUUUAGCUCUUAACAUUUACAUAUUUUAUCAAUUUGGCUUUUGUUAUUUUUUUAGACAAAUUUUGGCCUUCAACCUUUUAGAAAAGAGUUAAAAUGAUGUUUUUGUUAUUAAAUGAUGUUUUUUUAGAAAAAUCCUCAAUAAUCUCUAAUUUCUAGGGAUUAUUUACCAAAAAAACUCAACAAUCCCUCCCUUAAACUGAAAGUACAAUGAACUUUCAGUUUAAUAAAUACUUACUACUCAAUGUCAAAGACCAAGUAUUUUCCUGAACUUGACAAAUGAUGCCAACUUGAGAGGCUUAGUAAAUACAUCAACAACUUAAUUUUCACUUCUGUAAUACUUUAGCUUAAUUGCUCUUUCAUUGCUGAAAUAUGACAGAAAGUAAUAUUUUACAUCAAUAUUCUUGCUUCUUCCAUGCAACACAAGAUUUUUUGACAACUUGAUGGCUGAGUUGUUAUCACAAAAAAAUAUAGCGGCUCUUUUUGGCUUGAAUUGUAGUUGUUCAAGGAUUCUCCUAAGCCAAAUAGCUUGACAAGCACAAGCUGUAGUGUCAAAAAAUAUGACAAUGGAUUGUUUCUUAGAUGAUCACGAAAUAGCUCCUGUUUUAAGCAUAAAAACAUAACCUAAAAUGCUCAUUCUAUCAUCUUGAUCUCUUGCAUAAUCACUACCAGUGAAGCCAAUCAUGUUUGUCACCCUUUUUGUAGAAAAUCCAAAAUCUUUGGUUCUUUAUAAGUAACGAAGGAUUCUCUUAGCAGCUAAUAAAUGUUUUUCAAUCGGGCUCUUCAUGUACCUGCUAAUAAGACUCAUAGAAUACUAAUAGAGUUAGAUACAUCAAACUACCUACAAUUUUCUUGUAAACUAUGCUAUCCACAUUCUUUAAUAAGUUUUAAACCAAACUCAGUUGGAGUGUUGGAAGAGUUACAAUUCUUCAUCUUGAAUUUGUCCAAAAUCUCUCUCACAUAAUUUUUCUCUUCCUUCAAGUAUUCAUGUAAGAAUGUCGACUUGAUAUCUAACUGGAAGAUUGACCAAGAGUUCUGCGCUACUAAAGCAAUCACCAAUCUGAUAGUGUUAUGUCUUGCAACUAGGGUAAAAAAUUUUGUGUAGUCUACACCAUACUCUUGUUUGUACCCCUUAGCCGCUAAUUGCGUAUUGCACUUCUCAACCUCUUUGUUUUCCUUCAACUUCGUCUUGUAGAUCCACUUGACACCAAUGGUUUUGUGCCCCUCAAGAAGAUCAGUCAUCUCCUAAGUAUCAUUCCUUUUAAUGGCUUUGAUUUUAGCAUCCAUUGCCUCUUUCCAUUUUGCCUCAUUGGCAACAUUUUCAAAACUUGUUGGGCCACAAUCUGUAAAUAAUGCAAAUUGAGCAAUUGCAUCAUCAUUUUCUCUAAUUUUGGUUACGUCAUAAUCUUACAUCCAUGCUGGCCUUCUUCGAACAUGACGAAGUGCUUCAGCUAUUGUACUAGUUUCUUCUUUAUGUGUAAACAAUACUUUAGUGGCUAAUAGAGAAGUAUUCUUGAGCAUUUCUUCAGCUUUAUUAUCAUAAAGAACUGUAUAGGUUGUGCUUCAUCCCAAUCCCAAGUUUUCUCUUCAUGAAACAUAACUCUCGGCUAAUCAUGACCUUCUUUCUCACAGGAUUAAACAAUUUGUAUGCCUUCAAUUUGAUGUUUCACUAAUACCAAAAAAGACACAUCAACAAGCUUCUUCCAUUUCUCCUUUGAGACAUGUGCUUAGGUAAUGCGCCUAAAAAUUCUGAAGUGAUCUAUCACCGGUCUCCUUCCACUUUAAGCCUUCUCCGGAGUCACAUCUUGAAGAGAAUUAGUAGGGCUCCUAUUCAAGAUGUGGAUGUUCCAAUUUAUAGCUUUUGACCAAAACACCUUUGGAAUUCUCCCUCUUACUAGUAGGCUUCGAACCAUGUUGAGAAUGGUUUAAUUUUUCCUCUCUGAUACAUUAUUUUUUUGUUGUGUAUAAGUAGUUGUGAGCUCUCUUUGGAUGCUGUGAACAUCACAAGUCUUCAAACGCCUUAGAGGAAUAUUCACCACCAGGACUAGUUCGAAGAGGUUGAAUGGUUCUUCCUUUCUCAUUUCCUACACUAGCUUUAAAGCUUUUAAAUUUGAUUUUUCUUGUAAAGGUAAACCCAUGUCUUACAAGUAUAAUAAUCAAUAAAGGUAAUAAAUUUCCAUUAUAAAUUGGAUUUAUUGGCCCACAAAUGUCUGAAUGCACCAACUCCAAUACCUCUUUUACUUUCCAUAACUUACUUUUAGGAAAUUGAGAUCGAUGUGGUUUGCUAGCAACAAAUUCUUCACAAACUAGCAAAGGAAAGAUAAUUGGAGGAAGACCAGUCACCAUAUUUUUAUUUUUAAGUAUCUUCAAACCACCAAAGUUUAAAUGACCAUAGCAAAAAUACCACAACCAAGAAGGAUAUUUAACUUCUACUAUUGUUGACACCAAUUUUUUAGAUGAAAACGGGGUCAACUUGGGUUUUGACGAAAACGAAAAAAACGGGAGUCACCACCAAUCCUUUUUGAUAAGGUGUGAUUGGAUCACCUUGAAAAGUGGUUGUUUUUAAUAAACGAUUUAAUUUUAUGAAAACAACGAGUUUGGUCCGCAAAAUUCAGAAGAAAAAAAUUCGGGUUCGGGAGUCGGUUACGUACGAGGAAGGAUUAGCACCCUCAUAACGCCCAAAAUUGGUACCUAGUUGAUUAGCUAAUGUCUUAAUGUCGAAAAUUGAAAACUUUGAAGAAUUUUAAAAAACGAUCCUUGUAUGUUGAGAUUUUUUGGGAAAAAAGGGCAUAUUUCACGUUGAUCGAGAAAAAGAAUCAUAUCUAGUGAGUUAGGACACAAUGUCUCGAAUUCCCGAUACGCGAAUAAAAAUGCUUAUUUAAAAGACAUUUUAGCUAUCUCGAAUUUAAAAGGGAGAUCACGACCAGUAAGUUAGGACGUGAUUUUUAAAACUUGAGUUUGAAAAGAUUCAUGUAAUAAAGUUUAAAAGGAUAUUCAAACGUUUAAAUCAAAAGAAGAAAUCACGACCCAAUACGUUAGGGCACAAUUUCUCAAAAUAUUAAACAUUAAAUAUUGCGUUUAUUGCGAAAAAUCCUCGUCUCGAGAAAAUAACGUGUCACGUCCAAUGCGUUAAGACACAAUGUAUUGAAUUCUCGAUAAUGAGCUUUUUAGUUAUAUUUUUUUUAUAAAAAGAGUAAUCUCGAUUAUUUAGAUUCAACAAAUAAAAUCGGAACCCAAUACGUUAGGGCUUGAUUCUCUCGAAGAUUCCAAAUACCGAGUGGUACUUAUAUUUUUAAAAUUUUCGCUUUUUACGUAUUCGAGUAAAAAUUAUAUAUGAUAGAAUAACUAUUAUGAUAUGCAAGUAAAAAUAAUACGAGCAGUAGCAAAUAAAAGAUAAAUAAAAGACAAACUAAUUAUACAAGGUAAUAAGCAGAUAAGCUUUUCAAAUAAAAUGAGCAUAAGAUAGAAAGCAAAUGUCGCACGAAACAAUGAAAUUAUAGAAGAAAUAAAAAGGAAUGUAUAUAAAAAAUGUAUAUGUAUGUAUUUGAAAUUAUACAAAAUGUGUAAGUGUAUAUACAUAUGUGUAUAAAAUUACGGAAAUAUGAAAAGUAUAUACAUGUAUACAUAUUUUAAAAUUAUUAUACAUGAAAAUAUAUGUAAGUAUGUAUUAAAAUAUGUAUAUAUGUAGGUAUAUAAAAAUUAUGAAGUAUAUAAAAAGAUAAAAGUAUGUAUAUAUAUACACAUUUAAAAAAAACUUAAAAAUAUGUACAUGUGUGUAUUUUUAAAAAAGAGUAUUGAUGUGUAUAUAUAAAAUAUAUAAAAAAAACAUAUGUAUGAAUAUAUACAUAAUUGUGAAUAUAAAAAGGGUACACGGUUAUAUACAUAUAGAUAUAGACAUGCGUAUGGAUAUUAAAAUAUAUAUAUAUGAGUAUAUGAGUAUAGAUAGAUUAUGAAAAUCUGCCCAUGCAAGUAUAUAUACAUAUAUAUAUAUUAUAAGAGCGCAUGUAUGUAUGUAUAUUUAUAUAUAAAAAAUGUAUGUAUAGACAAAUUAUAAAGUACAUAAAAAAAAAUAUAUAUAACAAAAUCUAAAAAUGGUAUAAAUGGAUAAAUAAAAUGCACUAAUAAUAAUAAUAAUAAUAAUAAUAAUAAUAAUAAUAUGAUGCAAUAAUAUAACAAUGAAUAGAUAAGUAUGUAAAUAAAAUACAAAAAUAACACAAAUAGACUAAUUAGGAAUAAAAAUAAAAUUAAAGGGUCGAAAUUGUAAUAAAAUAAAUACGGAGGGAUGAAAAUGGAAAAUAGCAUGAAAGGGCAGGGGCCAAAUGAGUGAAUAUACCAGACCUUGGACACGUGUCCACUUUUUAGGGCGCUGAGGGGUCAGGGAUCCGAUUGAAAUCCAAACAAAGUUGCAGGGCCGAAUUAAAAAGUGAAAAUAAACAAAGUUGCAGGGCCAGGAUUGCAAAUAACCUAUUCCAUGAAAACGCGCGGGUCAUGGGGCUAAACGGCGCCGCUUUGUGCAGGCUAUAAAAGCCAAAAAUUUGUCAAAACUUCUCAAUUUUCCUUUUUUCCCCAAAAAAACAAAAAAAGGCUCUCAAACCCCCCAUUUUCUGGUCUCGGGUUUGGCCAAGGGCCACCGUAUCGGCCGUCGGAUCGCCGGCGUCGGCGACGCCGUACACAGUGGCCGGCGAGUAUAGAAAGGCUUGCCCCUAUAGAUCCCGACCUUCUAAACUCGGAUCUGGCCUCAAAAUAACCAAAAACGAUGGGGAAAAGGUCGUUAGGCUUCCCUACAGUCGGUUUCGUCACCGGAGGAGUCUCCGACGAGGAGGAAACCAGUGACCCGCGGUGAGUUUCUCCUUUUUAUUUAUUUUUUAUUUUCGUUUUUAGAAAUCAAAAUAGAAAAUAAAAUAACCAAAAAAAAGAUUGUAAUCGAAAAAACUAGGAAAUCACCUUGAAGCUUGAUUUUUUUUAUUAUUCUGUUGAUAUUUGCUUUUUUGUUACAAAAAUCGGGAAAAUAAAAAAGAAAAAGCCCCCUCAAAGUUACAUGUUCUUCGGCUUUUAAAGUCAAUUUUUGUUACUGUUCCUGUCUUGUUUGUUUCUCUUCUUUGCAAGUGACGGUGCAAGUGGCCGAUGGUGGCAAGCGGUGGCAGUGUCAGAGGGCAGGUAGCUACGGCGCUAGGGUUUCAGAAAAGCUGAAACCCUAGUUUGACUUUGGGUUUGCUGGGCUAGGACAUUGGGCCUGUAAUUGGCUGUUGGGGUUUGGGUCAUUAGGUCAGUGAGCUGGUGGGCAAAAUUGGGCUGGUACAACUAUUAAACAAGAUUGAACAACCUCAAUCUUCAAUGGAAACAACCUAUUCUGACUUAUUUCCAUAAUAGCAACAACUGUUCUAGAUGGAUUAGAAAUCUCACAAGCACCAUUCGUGAAAGUGACAACAUACCCUUUUUCCAACAGUGGCAUCAAAGCCAAGUUUAUUCUUGUUAGCUUAGAAAACUUUUCACCUAUGGCCUCGAAAAGUAGUUUUGUUCAAGUAGUUAUUCCUUAUUUUGAUGAUCAUUAUGACCAUUGGAGUACGCUAAUGGAGAAUUUCCUAUGGUCAAAAAAGUAUUGGCCAAUGGUUGAGGCAGGUAUCGAAGAGCCUGCAGAAGGAGAAACUUUGACUAAUGCCUGGAAAGUAAAGUUCGAAGCGAGAAUGCUGAAAGAUUUGAAGGUGAAAAAUCAUCUCUUUCAAGCUAUUGAUUGUCCCAUCUUGAAAACUGUUCUUUGCAAAAAAACUUUCAAGGAUAUAUGAGAUUCCAUGAAGAAAAAGUAUCGAGGCACUGCCAGAGUGAAGUAAUAACAUCUUCAAGCCUUGAGGAGGGACUUCGAGACUCUAUAGAUAAAUGAAUGGGAAUCUAUCACUAGAAAUUGUGUUAGAACCAUGGAGAUUUGUAAUAGGAUGUAGUUCUAUGAUGAGAAGAUGGAGGGUGCCACCAUAGUGGAGAAGAUUUUGCGCUCCAUGAUGCUGAAGUUUGACAUGUCGUUUGCAUCAUUGAAGAGUCAAAAUACAUGAUGAAUUGUCUCUUGAUGAGUUGUAAAACUCUUUAUUUGUACAUGAGCAAAAGAUGAAUUUUACUUCAGCCUUCAAGGAACAAACUUUGAAGGCUUUUACUUUUUUUUUCAAUUUUAGAGGAAUAGGUAAAGGUAGAGGUAUAUAUUGGGAAAUGUGCCCAUAUUUUAGUAAACAUGUAACUACUUUUUAUUUAUUUAAACAGUGAAUUAAUAAAUAAAAUUAAUUUCACAUUUCGCUAUUAUGUCUUUUGUAUUUUCGGUCUUUUAUAUUUACAAUACAUAGCAAAAUUGUGACAAGCAAAUAUUAGCUCAUUGAUUGUCUAAAGUUCAAACUGAAGAUAAGUGACAUUGUAAAGAAUAUUUACAUUGUGAGAAAGACUACUUAUUUUAGUAGAUAAUCUAAAUUAGUUCGUAAUCUCGUAAAAGAAUCAAAGUGAGCAUUUGAUUCACAUACUGAGAAGGAUUAUUAUGUCUUCUACAAUUCCAAUUGGGGAGAUUGCUAGUCUUGGCUAUUGGAGCAGUUGACUCCAUUAGUAGAGAAAUAGAUGUAUUCAUUGGUAGAAUGAUACAUUGGACUGGACCCAAAAUGAAUUAAUUUUGAAUCUAUUUGUGAAUUAAUUCACUUGUGACGUUCGUGGUGUGGUUUACCCAAAUCUUAAGUUAGUCACUGACCAUGCGUAUCGAACCCAUGUGCUUUGAUACAAGUGGAGGCUUAUGCUCUAAGGAUGAUCGAGCCCACAGUCGGUAUGUUGGGUACAUAACUUGUGUAUGACAUGACUUUACUAGCAACAAUGUAAUUCAUAGCUCAAUUAAAGAGUUAAUGAUAUCCUCUCAUUGGUAUUGUAUGGAUUGAUAAAUAUAAAACGUGGCCACGGGGUGCUUAUUCUCGAAAGAGUAAUUUAUUACAGUCAUUUGUUGACAGUGGUCGUAUUAAUCAUUAAGAAGACACAAUGGUGAUAAUGAGAUAAAAUAAGAUUGUAUUAAGUGAACGACUUUAACUCAAAGGAAUCAAUGAUAUCAUAUGAGGGUAACACACAUCAUGAGGUCAUUGGACAAAGCAGUUGGAUGAAUUGCUUUCUUAAAGAGUAUACAAUAAGGAGUUUUCAAUUAUGGCACUUCUUAUGGACUGACUCUUGAUUAAGUAAUUGCGAAUUAUCGUAACGAUGCUUUUGGACAUAAUUACAAUCACUAGAGCCUAAUUGUAUAUGUUCAAUUGGUCCAUCCGUUAGCUCAACAAAAGCUUGAUCAUUCUGCAUUUGAAUCAGAAGAAAAUUCUACGACUUUAGAAAUGAUUUAAUUGAGUCAAUUUAUUCGAUAUGGAAUUAAAUUAGGUGGUCGUGAGAAUUGUUCAACUAGAGAAUUUGAUUAAAAAUUUUUCUUAAAAAAUUAAUUUGGAAAAUCUAAGUGAUUUUUGGGAAAAUUAAUUUUGAUCAAGUAAAAUUAAAUUAAUCAAAUCAAUUAAAAUUAAUAUGAUAUUUUUGGAAAUUAAUUUUCAAGUAAGACAAUUGGCCCAAUAGGUAAUUGAACUUAAAAAUUGGACCUGAGAUCGUGAGCGUGAGAGCCCAAAACCAAGACCAAGACCAUGACCCAAAAACUUGUCGAACUGGGCCCGGUAUGUGAAACCGGGCCGACGGUCCAAUUGGUGACUAGAUUGAAUUGGUCGGGUUGACAUUGACCCGGACCAAACCAGCUUAGGGUGCCGUAAGGGUGUCCCACCUACGUCACCGGACAUGUCGGUGUGGGUGGCUGCAACGGCGGCGUCCUGGUGACUGGCGGCAGUUGGUCAUCGAUGAUUGAGUUGUGGAAGGGUUACUCUCCUAUUGGGACUCUACCAGAGAAUUUGAUUUCAAAUUAACUACUUCAAAAAUAAUAUUAUUUUAAUAGUUUAACAUUAAAUUCAAUUUAAUGUUUAUCUUGUAGAUAAAUAUUUUAUUAUUUUAAUAAGAUUUAAUAUUAAAUUUAAUCUAAUAUUUAUCUUGAUAAAUAUUAGAUUAUAUUAAUUGAAUAUUAAAGUGAUUUAGUUUAAUCAUAGUUGAACUCUCUAAACUCUCCUUAUAUAAAGAGAGCAUUGAGUCAUUAUUUACACACACUUGAGUUCAAGAGAAAGUUGUAGAGAGAAAAUUUUCUGAAGAGAUUAUUCUAAAAAAUUUCUAGAGAUAUUUUUUUGAUUUAUAACUUGACCCAAAAGUUUAGAGAGAUUGCAAAAUUACCCCACUGGUAAUUUUUAUGAAAAAUUUUCUAAUUCGAAGUGAGCUCACAUUUGGCAGACAUGAGCUUGAGGAUUGUGGAGAAGGCUACUCGGUCGAAGCGCUAAUCCUAGACGAAUCAAAAAGAUAUAAUUUGGAUUAAGUGUUUAUUAUUUUAGAUAUCACAACCUAAAUUUAUUUUCCUCUGUAUUUUCUAAAUCUUUUUUCCAACAAUAUAGGGAGAAGUUUGAGCUAAUAGAAAAAGUGGCAACAGAAAUGGUAGCAAGAAUUACAAAAUCAAUGAUGACCAAAGUAAGGAUAAAUGACGAGAUUUUGAUAAAUCUAAAAUAAAAUGCUUCAUAAGGUAAAAAUUUGGUCAUUGUCAUUUUGAAUGUUAUUUUAGGCUACUAAAUGAUAAGGAUGAACAAGCGACAUUCACUGGACCAGGAGCGCCCCCUCUAGUAAAAGCUUCCACUGCCGGUUAACCAAUCACAUUGAAAAGGAAGCUGAGACAAAUGUAUAAUAUGUGGAUAUAGGUUGUAGUAUUUUUUUCGUAUUUAAAUGAUAAUUUUCGUUGUAGAAUCACCUCUGGUGAUUAUUGUACUGUCGAUUUCAUAAUUAAAAUUUUACAUGAAAUUUAAUGUUUUCUAAAAACCUUUGUUUUUGAAGACUUUUGUUACUAUACCCCGCUCCAUAUAAGAUCCAUCACCGUCAAAUGACAAAAAGUAAUUCAAUGCACUUUAAUUGUGCCAGCGGCUCCAAGCCCAUUGAUUUCACUAUAAAUUCCAUGCUUUUAGGUUAACCAUCUUCACACAAUCAAAUCAAGCUAGUUCGCAAUGGCUUCCACUACCAAUUCCCCAUCAACCCUCCUCACCCUUCCUAAUUUCUCCAUUCAAACUUCAACAUUCCUUCCCAAAACAUCUCAAGGUUCCAUAUUUAAGAAGAAAAAGCCUUUCAACUUUAACUCCAAAAGAGUAGUGUCAUGCAAAGCCAGCAAUGGGAAACAAAACGAUGCAAAUCACACUUCUUUUCUCAAUAGGUUCGAUAGAAGGGACAUCUUCCUUGGCCUUGGAGGAAGUCUCUACGGUGCAACCAGCCUUGUUAGAGACCCAUUUGCAUUGGCAGUCGUCCCAAUCGAGCCUGACCUGUCCAGCUGUGGGGAAUCAACCGUAGAUGCCGGUACAACCUGCAUGAAUGUCCCUUGCUGCCCACCAAAGUUAAAAGAUUCAAAGAUCAUAGACUUCGAACCACCUUUAGGUUGCAAGAUCCAUUAUCGGCCGGCAGCACAUUUAGUUGAUCGUGAUUACCUGUAUAAAUUUGAAUCGGCAAUGGAGAGAAUGAAAGCUCUCCCUGUGGAUGAUCCACGUAAUUUCAUGCAACAAGCCAAUAUUCAUUGUGCCUAUUGCAAUGGGGCUUAUAGUCAAGUGGGGUUCCCCGAUCAAAAACUUGAAGUUCACUACUCGUGGCUUUUUUUCCCAUUCCAUAGGAUGUAUCUGUAUUUCUUUGAGAGGAUAUUGGGCAAGUUGAUUGGUGAUCCAGAUUUCACAAUGCCAUUUUGGAACUGGGAUUCUCCUGUUGUUCCAAUAGGGUCGGAAGCGUGUAAAUUAUUGUACUAAAAAAUCACACAAAGUUCAAUUCCCAGGGAAGAGAGGUGGAUCACAUGGAUCUCUUAAAUACCAAGUCUUUCCUUAGACAGAAUAUCCCUUCUAUAGUAAUUUAAUAGCACAAUUAAAUACUACUAUUAUACCCUCAAAUAUUGAAAGAAAAAUAGGACAAGAAAGAACACAAGAGAUUUAACGAGGUUCGGUAAAUUAUACCUACGUCCUCGGGCACUAACACCAGAUGAUAACUUUACUAUCUCCAAAGUAUUACAAACAAAUAGAAUUCCUUAAGAAUUCUCAAAUGGGAGAAGAGAGAAAACUAAGAGAGAAAGAUUGGUUGGGAUGAAUUGAAAUGAGAAAUGAGAAGGCCUAUUUAUAGUUGAGGUUUAAGGAUCAAACAAUAAAUAGCCCAUUAUCUCAAGGACCAAAAAAAAAUUAUCCCAUGCCACUUUUUCAAAGUCAACUUUAGGGUGCUAAACUUGCACCACUUGGAUUGUUUUCCAUUAAAAUUGUCUGCCAUUAAUCAUAAUGUUAACAAUCUCCACCUUGAAGAUUUGAUUAGGAUAAUCACAUCUUCACACACUUCCUUCAACUCCCCAAAUUUGAUAAAGCUAUCUUUUGUAGUGCCUCCAAAUGCACUCUCGAGCGCAAUACACCUGAAGGUGCUCAAAUUCUCAGGAUGUUAAUCAAGUUCAAACAAUGAUUAAACUUGAUUGUUGUUACCACAUUGGUCAUCAUAUCUGCGGGAUUAUCUGCUGUUGGAAUCUUCUGAAGUAGAAUUUUUCCUUUUUCAAAGACUUCCCGCACAAAGUGAUAUCUUACGUCGAUAUGUUUGGUUCUUGAAUGAUAGACUUGAUUUUUCGCUAAAUGAAUAGCGCUCUGACUGUCACAAUAUAAACUUAUGUGACUUUGAACAACUCCUAAGUCUUUCAACAAUCCAUUAAGCCAAAUAGCCUCCUUAACAGCUUCUGUAACUGCCAUAUAUUCUGCCUCUGUAGUAGACACAGCUACUGUAGACUGUAAGGUAGAUUUCCAACUCACUGGGGCUUUCGCAAGAGUAAACAGAUACCCCGUAGUUGAACGACGUUUAUCUAAAUCACCAGCAAAGUCGGAAUCAACAUAUCCAACUACAAACUGACCAAGUGCUUCAUCCUGUUCAAAAAUUAAACCAACAUCUACGGUUUUUCGAAGAUACCGUAGAAUCCAUUUCACAGCUUGCCAAUGUCCUUUUCCAGGAUCAUGCAUAUACCUGCUCACAACUCCAACAGCUUGUGAAAUGUCAGGCCUCGUACACACCAUCGCAUACAUCAAACUCCCAACUGCAUUAGCAUAUGGGACUUUCACCAUAUAUUCUCUUUCAUCUUUAGUCUUCGGAGAUAAUUGAGCACUAAGUUUCAAAUGAGAAGCAAGUGGGGUACUUACAUGUUUUGUGUUUUCAUUUACACCAAAACAUUGUAAUACCUUUUUCAGAUAUUGCUUCUGAUUUAAACAGAACUUGCCUCUCGGUCUAUCUCUACUUAUCUCCAUGCCGAGAAUCUUCUUAGCCUCACCUAGAUCUUUCAUCUCGAACUCUUGAUUCAACUGAGCCUUCAGCUUAUCUAUCUCAUUUUGGCUCUUCGAAACGAUUAACAUAUCAUCAACAUACAAGAGUAGAUAAAUGAAAGAUCCGUCAUGCAGCUUCUGCAAAUAUACACAAUUGUCAUAUUUGCUUCUUGUGUACUUCUGCCUUCUCAUAAAGCUAUCAAAUCGCUUGUACCACUGCCUCGGGGAUUGCUUCAAUCCAUAUAGCGAUUUGUUAAGCUUACAAACCCAAUUUCUACCACCAGCAUCUGUGUAUCCUUCGGGCUGAGUCAUAUAGAUCUCCUCUUCUAACUCACCAUGCAAGAAAGCCGUCUUAACAUCAAGUUGAGCUAGCUCCAAAUUCAACUGUGCUACCAAGGCCAACAAAAUUCUAAUGGAGGAAUGCUUCACAACAGGGGAAAAUACAUCAUUGUAGUCAAUUCCCUCCUUCUGAGCGUAGCCUUUAGCUACCAAUCUUGCCUUGUAGCGAAUAUCCUUCUUGGUAGGAGAUCCAUCUUUCUUUGCGAAUACCACUUGCAUCCGAUUGCCCUUUUACCUUUCGGUAAUUGCGCCAACUCCCAAGUAUUGUUCUUCCGGAGAGACUGCAUUUCUUCAUCCAUGGCGCUUUUCCAUUUAUCACUUUCUAAGCUUUGCAUUGCUUCUUGAGAAGUGAUAGGAAUAUCAUCAACAACGGGAAGGGCGUAGGCCACUAUAUCAGUAAAUCGAGCAGUUUUACGAAUUUCUCUCCGUGGCCUUGCAACUGCAACUGGUUCUGGUGUACUUAGUGGUUCUUGGGUCAGAACCUCUUCAACCUCUAAUUCCUCCAUUGUGGCUGGAGAAUUAGACUUAUUAACUGGGCAAAUCCCCAUCUGCUCAAACUCCACCUGUUUUGGAGUACACUCCACCUGCUGUGGAGUAUUGCUCGUCUGAAUAUCUUUAUCUGCUACCUUUUUCAAUGUGGCAGAUUCAUCAAAGGUAACAUCUCUGCUACAGAUCAUUUUCUUUAUGCUUAAGCACCAAAGACGAAAUCCCUUCACUCCAGAAGUGAUUCCCAUAAAGAGAGCUUUCUUUGCCCUUGGAUCUAACUUUGACUUCUUCACAUGGUAAUAUGCAGUGGUUCCAAACACAUGUAAGGAAUCAUAAUCUGUAGCCGGUUUUCCAGACCAUACCUCCAUAGGAGUUUUUCUUUCUAAUGCAGAUGAUGGCAAAUGAUUAACAAGAUGGCCAGCGUAUGUCACAGCCUCAGCCCAAAAUUGCUUGCCCAACCCAGCAUUGGACAACAUACAUCGAACUUUCUCCAGCAAUGUUCGAUUCAUACGCUCUGCCAAUCCAUUCUGCUGUGGUGUAUCCCUAACUGUGAAGUGUCAAACAAUACCAUACUCUUGGCACACAUCGAAGAACGGAUCACUUUUAUAUUCCCCUCCAUUGUCCGUCCUAAGCCGCUUGAUUUUCUUGCCAGUCUGGUUUUCGAUCAUAGUUUUCCAUUUAAGAAAAACUCUAAGCACUUCAUCCUUAGUUCUCAUGGUAUACACCCAAACUCUUCUGGAAAAGUCAUCAACAAAAGUAACAAAGUAGUGUUUUCCUCCCAAUGAAGGUGUCUUGGAAGGCCUCCACACAUCUGAGUGAACAUAUUCCAAAAUAUCUUUUGUAUUAUGGAUAGCAGUACCGAAUUUCACUCUCUUUUUCUUUCCCAGAACACAAUGCUCGCAAAAUUUUAAUUUACAAGCCUUUGCACCUUUCAACAAUCCUUGCUUUGCCAGAAUUUGCAAGGAUUUUUCGCUGGCAUGUCCCAACUUCAUAUGCCACAACUGUAUUGAGUCCAAUUCUUUGUUGCCGAAAGCUACAGCGACUGCUCCAAUAACUGUACUACCUUGGUAGUAAUACAAGUUAUUUUUCCUGAUGCCCUUCAAUAUCACAAGUGCGCCAGAUGUCACUUUCAAAACCUCAUCUCUCAUAGUAACAACUGAACCAUUGGAUUCCAAGGCUCCCAAUGAGAUGAGAUUUUUCUUCAAACUAGGCACAUACCGAACAUCAGUCAGAACUCUGGUUGAUCCAUCUUUAUUCUUUAAUUGGAUUGAACCUAUCCCAACAGUUUUACAGGCAUUGUCAUUGCCCAUAUAAAUAACUCCUCCAUUUAGUUCUACUAAAUCAGAGAACCACUCCCGGUUAGGGGACAUAUGAUAGGUACAACCCGAAUCCAAUAUCCACUCAUCUGAAUGGAACGACGAUGAUGAUGCAACCAGUGAUAGUUCAGAGUCACUGGUAUCAUGCUUUGCAACACAAGCAUCUACAGCAGCUUUUCCCUUAUUCUUCAGCUUUGGACAAUUUUUCUUCCAGUGGCCUUUCUCAUGACAAAAAGCACAUUCAUCUUUCCCGAGUCUGGACUUUGACUUUGAUCUCCCCUUUUGAGUUUUCUUCCGAGUGUAUGAAUGACCUCAGACUACUAAAGCUUCUGUAUCUCUGAUUGAGUUUUUCUGUUUGUCAUUCUUUCUCUGUUCAUAACUGUAUAAGGCCGCACAGACUUCGCUCAGAGAUAUAUCACUCCUGCCAUGAAGUAGAGUAGUUUCUAGGAACUCAAACUCCUCAGGAAGUGACCCCAACAGCAUCAAAGCCAAAUCUUCAUCUUUGAAUGUCUCAUCCAUAUUCAGCAAAUCAGUGACUAACUGAUUAAAUUUGGUGAUGUGAUCAUUCAUUGUGGUACUUGGGACGUAUGUGAAGCGAAACAGUCUUUUCUUCAAGUGGACCUUAUUUUGACUGUUUUUCUUCAAAAAAUUUUCUUCAAGUGCCACCCACAACUUAUUUGCAGAAGUCUCCUUUGAAAAAGCAUACAUCUGCUCUCGAGAAAGGCAUGAUCGAAUUGUGCCAUAUGCCAACCGAUUGAUCGCCUUCCAAUCUUUCCCCUGUACAUCAUCUGGUUUCUCUUCAUCAAUGGCAAUGUCUAGACCCUGCUGAAAAAGGGCAUCUAGAACCUCACUUUGCCAUAUACCAAAAUGGCCCGUGCCAUCAAAGAUCUCCACGGCCAGUCUUGCAUUUGCAAUUGUCGGUCUUGUCCACAUGGACGAUGUUGAAGCUCCUACACCGACCGUUUUCUCCAUAAUCUUUCAAUAUACCUAAGGAAAUCUUUUCUGAUGUGGAAGAUCAGUUCAAACUGCAACCACAGAGCAUACUACGAUUAACCUUCGGCUCUUGAUACCACUUGUUGUUCCAAUAGGGUCGGAAGCGUGUAAAUUAUUGUACUAAAAAAUCACACAAAGUUCAAUUCCCAGGGAAGAGAGGUGGAUCACAUGGAUCUCUUAAAUACCAAGUUUUUCCUUAGACAGAAUAUCCCUUCUAUAGUAAUUUAAUAGCACAAUUAAAUACUACUAUUAUACCCUCAAAUAUUGAAAGAAAAAUAGGACAAGAAAGAACACAAGAGAUUUAACGAGGUUCGGUAAAUUAUACCUACGUCCUCGGGCACUAACACCAGAUGAUAACUUUACUAUCUCCAAAGUAUUACAAACAAAUAGAAUUCCUUAAGAAUUCUCAAAUGGGAGAAGAGAGAAAACUAAGAGAGAAAGAUUGGUUGGGAUGAAUUGAAAUGAGAAAUGAGAAGGCCUAUUUAUAGUUGAGGUUUAAGGAUCAAACAAUAAAUAGCCCAUUAUCUCAAGGACCAAAAAAAAAUUAUCCCAUGCCACUUUUUCAAAGUCAACUUUAGGGUGCUAAACUUGCACCACUUGGAUUGUUUUCCAUUAAAAUUGUCUGCCAUUAAUCAUAAUGUUAACAUCUCCCUGUGGGAUGACUAUGCCUCAGAUAUAUUUAGACCCUUACUCUCCAUUGUACGAUGAAAACCGCAAUUUGGAGCAUCAGCCGGACGUUUUGGUUAAUCUUAAUGACGGUAAAUCUUUUGUAAAACCAAAAAAAAAGGAUGAUUUUUAUGAAUUAGCAAAGAGGGAACAAAUAAAUAGUAAUCUCUAUGUGAUGUAUCAGCAAAUGGUACGGUCCGCCAAGACCGCUUCUUGUUUCCAUGGAGCGGCGUACCUUGGCGGUUGUGUAUCCGAAACCGAUAUCGGUUGUACUCCCGAACCGAGAGGUGGUACCAUUGAGAACGGUGCUCAUAUCGCCGUUCACAAGUUCGUUGGUGCCAAGAAUCCACCUUAUAACGAAGACAUGGGGAAUUUCUAUUCUGCUGGUAGAGACCCUUUGUUCUACGCUCAUCAUGGCAAUGUUGAUCGAAUGUGGAACAUUUGGAAGACAUUGCCAGGGAAGAAGCGACAUGAUUUCAACGAAAAUGUUUGGCUCAAUUCUUCGUUUCUUUUCUACGAUGAGAAUACAAAUAUGGUUCGUGUUAAAGUUCGCGAUUGCCUUGACUCUAAAACUUUGGGGUACGAUUACCAAAGUGUUGAUAUUCCAUGGCUUAGAAGCAAGCCAACAC
Molecule: long non-coding RNA, 42731 nt
Filed under: Gossypium barbadense (sea-island cotton)
Lineage: Eukaryota; Viridiplantae; Streptophyta; Magnoliopsida; Malvales; Malvaceae
Description: long non-coding RNA (GBAR_LNC017419)
Source: RNAcentral